UACGGGGGGGGCAAGCGUUGUCCGGAAUUAUUGGGCGUAAAGGGCUCGUAGGCGGUCUGUCGCGUCGGGAGUGAAAACUCAGGGCUUAACCCUGAGCCUGCUUCCGAUACGGGCAGACUAGAGGUAUGCAGGGGAGAACGGAAUUCCUGGUGUAGCGGUGGAAUGCGCAGAUAUCAGGAGGAACACCGGUGGCGAAGGCGGUUCUCUGGGCAUUACCUGACGCUGAGGAGCGAAAGUGUGGGGAGCGAACAGG
Molecule: ribosomal RNA, 253 nt
Filed under: uncultured bacterium
Lineage: Bacteria
Description: partial 16S ribosomal RNA
Rfam family: Bacterial small subunit ribosomal RNA
Source: RNAcentral